Mus musculus (house mouse) is the source of this 2127-nucleotide long non-coding RNA. RefSeq annotates it as predicted gene, 52873. The record is from RefSeq and is a predicted model, not a curated record. NCBI's taxonomy places the organism in Eukaryota, Metazoa, Chordata, Mammalia, Rodentia, Muridae. The transcript has 3 exons.
AGAGGUCUGCAGUGAGAAGCUGAAGGGGAGAGGUCUGCAGUGAAGCUGAAGGGGAGAGGUCUGCAGUGAAGCUGAAGGGGAGAGGUCUGCAGUGAGAAGCUGAAGGGGAGAGGUUUGCAGUGAGAAGCUGAAGGGGAGAGGUCUGCAGUGAGAAGCUGAAGGAGAGAGGUCUGCAGUGAUGCUGAAGGGGAGAGGUCUGCAGUGAGAAGCUGAAGGGGAGAGGUCUGCAGUGAGAAGCUGAAGGAGAGAGGUCUGCAGUGAAGCUGAAGGGGAGAGGUCUGCAGUGAGAAGCUGAAGGGGAGAGGUCUGCAGUGAGAAGCUGAAGGGGAGAGGUCUGCAGUGAGAAGCGGAAGGAGAGAGGUCUGCAGUGAGAAGCUGAAGGGCUUUUGCAGACUCCGCUGGUGCAGGUGUUGCUUUUUGUCUUCAGCAGUGGGGCCACCUUUCCUGUCAGUACAGGGAGGACACUGUUGGUCUUGCUUCACAGUAGAGGACCAUAGCAUCCUCUUUUGUUUUACUAUUAGGGAAAAGGUGAGAAGGUCAGGGGCUUGUCUUUGUUGCCAAGGGGCUAUACUUUGAGGGCCACGUGACCAGGACUCCAUCCACUGUGUAUUAUCUCAAGGACUGCUUUGUGUCAUUAAGCUACAAUGCAGUAGACACACUAGCAGUGGUGUACGCAAAUUCAACUCCUUUUCUGUAAGGCAGUGAAUUUGUGAUUUGGAUAGAGAUCAGCAAAAUCAAUAGUAGCUUAAUUAUUAUUCAGAUUUAGCUGAGCAAGAAGACCAUAAAUCCAAAUAAGAUUUAGAGUUAUAUUUUAUCUUAGAAGGCUGAGAAAAAACAUAAAAAAUUCAGUGCCCUGAAUUGUAAAGGUCUAGGAAUGUAACUAGUGCAGUUGCAGUGCGUAUCCAGCAAGAGCAAGACCCUGAUUCUAUGUCCAAUUAGGAGAAGACUACAAUAAUAAGACAAAUCGAAACCUUUUAAUAGAGUGGGUUGCAGCCCAGUUGGUAAAGUGCUGGCCUAGCGUCUUAACUUUGCGCUUCUAUUGGUCUGAUCAAACACCAUGACCAAAAGCAACUUGGAAAGGAGAGAGUGUAUUUCAGCUCAUAGUUAUAUGCCAGAGUCUGUCACUGAGGGAAGUCAGGGCAGGAACUCAGAGUAGGAGCCUGGAGACAGGAGCUGAGGCAGAUGCUAGGGAGGGUGCAGCAUGCUCACUCAUUCCCUCCUCAUGACUCACUCAGCCUGCUUUCCUGUAGCACCCAGGUUCACCAGCUCAGAGGGCACGACCUACAGUGGGCUGGGCCCGCCCUGCCAAUUGUUAAUCAGGAAAGUCCCCCACAGACUUUCCCUCAGGCCAGCCUUGUGGGGAUAUUUUCUCAAUUGAGGUUCCUUUUUCAAAAAUGACUCUUGCUUGUGUUAAGUUGACACAAAGCAAGCCAACAACUCUAGUGUUUAGAAAGCCUGGGUUUAAUCCCCAGGUACGGUCUGAGUUUCUGGUACUUGAGAGGAGGAAGCAGGAGGAUCUGAAGUGUAAGAUUAUUCCCAGUCACUUAGUGAUUUAAGGCCAGCCUGGGCUACUUGGGACCCCUUCUUAAACGGAAGAAAGACAUCUAAGUCUUUAGAGUAUGCUUGAUUUUUAAUUUGUUUGUAACUUAACAGUUAGUAAACUCAUUUUACUUGCCGUAUUCCAUAUUUAAAUUAGCCACUAGAUAAUGUAUGUCUCUGCCACUAACAGAGCUGGCUGGUGGCUGGCAGACCUCUGGACUUGGGGACCACCCAAGACCAAGAAGCAAAGCUGUGAAAGACCAACCUAUUUGAGGAGGAGGGAGAAGAGAAAGAUGUGUGUACGUGUGUGUGUGUGUGUGUGUGUGUGUGUGUGUGUGUGUAUGUGUUGAGUGGAGGGGCCCUUGCACAUGUUUGUGUGUGGUCUGGCUCAGCUGAUGGGUGCUCCUGGGGUCCACCUAGAUCUGCCCCCAAUGCUGGGAUACUGAUGUGUGUGGCUAUAUCUGGAUCUUUUAAACAUGAGAUCUGGGGAUUUGAACUCAAGUCCUCAUGUUUAUGUAGCAAGUCUUUUUUCCUCACCUAGCCAUUUUGUCGUCACUGUCCUGUGGAUUUUUAAUGCAUGAUUUGUGU